Molecule: long non-coding RNA, 2227 nt
Organism: Gallus gallus (chicken)
Lineage: Eukaryota; Metazoa; Chordata; Aves; Galliformes; Phasianidae
Source: Ensembl
UGGAUGUCUCUGUAUGCCUGAGGCCUUCUGAUGAGGCUGAUGGACGUGGCCACCCCUACUUCUGGGGCUCUGCAGUUUGAAGGCACUGUGAAGGGAGAGCUCUCUGCCACGUCCCUUUGGACCCUUUGAAGCUCUUUUACUCUGCGUUCUGUCUCUGCUGCUGUCAGGCCGUUCUGUCUGUCUCCGGGCAGAGGAAUGGCAUUCUUUUCUCUGCUGUACGACAGACCAUAAAUCCUGGUGAGUAUCGAUCCCAGUGGCCAAAGGCUGACAUUGCUUUGCCAAAGGGGAGUGCAGCAUGGCAUGUCGCUCCGGCACGGCGCGACGGAGAGGAGCUCUUAUUGAUUUCGCUCUGCGUCGCGAAGCCCUUCCCCUUUCCUGCAUUAAGGGCUAAUUUUAGGCUGAGAUGAUGUGAUAAUGGGGUUGUGCUCAUCGUGCUGCAAUUCCCGUCCACCCCUGGGUGCCACCACUGCGUCCUCCACUGUCCCCACCUCUCCUGCUCUGUCCCCAGAGGCUCUGCAUCCCCUCUCUCCUCCAAAGAAAGCACCAGAAAUAUGGAGGAAAUGGAACCCCAUCUCAUCGUGCCCUGCUCACCCCAACCUGCUCCAUCCUCACUGCUCUCCUGCUCCCCUUGCGCAAGGGCUGGAGCUUAAAUGCAGCUCCAGGAGGUGCAGAGGGGGAAAUGCUGCUCAUUGCUGUGGUUUUUCACAGCUCUGCCAACCAAUGGAGCAGCAAUCAGAUCCAGCUGUGACCCAAAGACAUUGCAUGGGUUGGUGCCAUCCUGACCACAACCAUGGGGGAUGCCCAAAGUCUGCAGAUCAAGGAGGGGGGGAAACGCAUCGCCUCCACUUUGCAGAGCUCUGAAAAACUUUGGCAUGGGAAUAUGGAACGUUGAGGCACUUGUCCCUCUGCUGUCCAAGCAAUGACUUUAGCCAGACCUGGUAGCGCUUUGAGCCUGAGCUGAUGUAGGAAUCAGCACCGAAUGCUCCAACUUCAGCCACUGCUGAGCCAGAGCUGCGAACUUCUGCUCAGCUCUUUGAUUCCUUCUCCUGCAAACAGCUCCACGGAACAGCUCCGUUUGCAAUUUGAUCUGAGAACAGUUAAUGAUCGUUACUGGUAGGGCAUCAGAUGCUCCUGAUCUGUGGAAAUAACUUCAGAAACAAGACUCUUUGUCAGGGAAUGGAGCGCAUCUGCUGUCCCAGACCUUCAAGUAUGGCGAAGAGGAACAUGACGGAAUGUCUUAAAGUACAUAGCUGGAGUCACUCUUCCAUUAAUAUCUUAUGCUAUUCCCAGUGGGACUGUAAUUUGGGUUGCCCACACACAGCAAAACUCCAUUUUUUGGUCUGUAGGCAAUGAAGGGUUUUUGCAAUGGUGGGAGAAGGAGGUUAGAAGUGACCCAAGCACAGUGAGACAAAGCAGAGAUGCUGGCUUAUGGUGAUUAAUUGAAGAACUUAAAACCAGCCAUCCCUGGUCCAUCCAUCACCAUCUUAACAGCAGGCAGCAAAGGAAGGGCGUAAGAGCGGGGAAGCAUCCUUCCCAGCCCCCAUCAGGCUGUGGCUCAGGGAUUCCCCAUGCCCAAGAUGGUAUCUCCAGGUUUAAUGGCCCUUGAUGCAUUUCUCAUCCAUUAAUUCAUCCAGCUGCUGUUGACUCCACUCAGGCUGGUAGCAUCCACUGUCCUCACCUAACCCCAUGCUGGGCACUUCCUUCGGGUGGUUCACAAAACUGGGACAGCACUGGAAAUCCAGAGUGCCCCUUUUCUCCUUGGAACUCUUUCUAGGUUCCAGCUGAGGAGAGUGGGGGAUGCACAAAGGAUGGGAUCCAGCCAAGCAGAGGCAACGCAAAGCAACUGCAGAAACGCUCGCCCUCACCCCAUCCUCAGUCCAUGCUGCUCUAGAGUUCCAGUGGAGUUGGAUCACUGACAUCCUCAGUUAUCCUCAUUAUGUGCACCUCUGGAGCUCUUGGGUUUGCUCUUGGUCCGGGCUUGUGGCCAUGGUAGGAUGCCAAGCAGAUCAUUUCUGCAGAGGUUUCAUCCCAGAGUGAGGCAUAGCCAGGUCUGUGAGCACCUCAUGAAAUCCUAGAACCUUGGGAUCACGAAUCCUGGAAUCUUGGAACCACGGAAUAUCUCAAGUCGAAAAGGACCCCAUAAGGAUGAAGUCCAACCCCCGCUGAUCCUCCACUCGUAGCAGGCUUGGGUGAGGCUGUAACAAAGCUGCAGGACAGAGGGGCUCAC